This is a long non-coding RNA of Bubalus bubalis (water buffalo), 2144 nucleotides long. RefSeq lists it as uncharacterized. Lineage: Eukaryota; Metazoa; Chordata; Mammalia; Artiodactyla; Bovidae. The transcript is spliced from 5 exons. The record is from RefSeq and is a predicted model, not a curated record.
GCAUGGCAAAACAAACAAACAAAAAAGUAAGAACAAUAAGGAUAAUUUAUUUUAAAAAGCUAAAAAGUAUAAAAGUCCUUUCAAAUUUUCUAGAGCAAAGAGAUAUUUAGCAUGGAGUUUGGGGGCCUUGUGAUGUUCGCUAUGAUGUGGGAGAUCCCCUAAGGCCAACUUGCCCAGGGCCUGGCCCAGGUGUGUCCUCUAAUGACUGUGAGGACUUGUCAUUUGGGCAAAGCCUGAGUCCCAGCCCACCUGCUGCCGUGUUUCUGAGGUUGCCUAGCUGUCCCAGUUUGAUCCAGGCAUCACCCAGGCCCCAACACUCUACAGCAAGUUCCUCACGAGGUCAUCUAGGAACCACCUGCAGCAUUUGGAACUCUUGUUUAAAAUGCAUCUUCCUGGGCCUCAGGACCUACUGGAUCAGGUUAUCUAGGCAGGGCCCCAGGAAGCUGUACUUAGAACCAGCUCCCAGGUGAUUCUGAUACACAGUAAGCUAUAUACCAGCGCUUGAGAGCGCAUGCUUCCUGUUUGGCAUAGAGCUGAGCUGAACUAGUGAGAAGCAGGUCUCAGGAUAGGAAGCAGGACGCUGUGAGGUUCAUGGCAGAGAACUGGGCCAGAGCCAGGACCCAGGGAAGAUGUCUAGGACAGGAAGGGCAGCAGGCCCAGCAAACAUUUGUUUACCAAUAACUCGCUUUUCCUUGGUUGCUUUCCUCUCCUUGGAGGUUUCAAACCACUACCCCAAACAUCCUCUCUUGUCUUUAGGUGAAGAUGAUAUUUAAGUUACUUCUGGAUGCCAGACUGAGGAUUCCUUCAGUGCUGACACUGACAUUAAGGGAAUAAUCCUGGUUUCAGCGUUGGAAAGCUGAGCCUCUAUGUACCCUUAGAUGUGAUUAAAUGCCACUCCGUCUCUCCACACAGCCAGCCAAGCAAGCAGAGCUGAGUCCUAACCUUCCUCGGUCCCAACCAUCUGUUUCUCUAAAUAUGUUACUUUCAUCCCCAAAGACCAACUCUCAGACCAGACGGAGUGAGCUGGCCAGGGCAGGAAGCCCAUCUCCUCCCUCAGCAUCCGCCCAGGCCUGGCCUCCCGGGCUCUCACUCGUAGAAUAGCUCCAUCCUUCUCUGAGUCACCUCCCAGACACUCACCCUUUUAGUCUGCGCCAAAGGAGCCAAGCCCCAAGCAUGAUACCCCUGGCAGCUCAGCUGGGCUGGGUGUGUGGCAGAGCUGCCUGGAGGGGCCCUCUGCCUUCCAGAAGCCAUCCUGAUGUCAAUCAUCUGAGAUGCAGGACGACCCGCCAUUGGAACACCCAGGCCCAGAGCCCAGAGAACAUCGUUGAUUACUGAGACGCCUAGGCUCCCGAGGCCAGCUGCUGAGGAUUUUCUACACCCAGACGUUCAAAACAAAAAAGCAUUCUUAUUUUCACGUGGAUUCCAUCAUGGCACUGUGCAGGAGCCUCUUGGGAAGCAAAGAAUCAAGAAUCUGACCCCUUUCACUUUAAGAAUGAAUUUUCUUUAACAAGAUCUGUGGCCUGGGGCACCCUGCCUGAGAUGAGAAGAUAACCCAGGAGAGCCCAGGGAACUCCCUGGAAGGGAACCGGGAGGCUGGGCCACAAACGCAGCCACAACACCAGCAUGGAGGGGACCAGUUCUGGGCAUUAUGUGACCCAGAGGCUGCAGACGUCUCCCAGCACACCAGCCCCACUGGCUGUGUGUGCUAGCGUGACCAUGCUACACACUGCCAUCCGUUCAUUCAGGCAUGUUUACUGCACUGUUCUGUUACUGCUAGGCUCUGACCUAGCUGUGGGAAACAGCGAUGAAAAAUAAAUAAAUACCCGAUCUUAUGGGAGCUUGUUCAUUAGGGGUCCCUGUGUGAUCCUCUGUCUUAGCAAUAAGCUGCUCUUUCCUCUGGUACAGGGAGGGCAACUCGCAUGAGGGUCUUAUGAGCUGCUUCAGGAGAGAAGGGUGGGGGAAGGUCAGAGUGGACGUCCUGCUUCUGCCCUUUUCUCAGAUUCCUUCAGCUUAACAUAUUCCAUGUACCAACAUGCUGUAUUUGGGGGUAGCCUGUUCUGAACCCUGCCAGUACUUAGGAGAAAUUUGAGUACAGCAAUCACAUAAUCUAACUUUUGUUUUAUUUAAAAUUUUAAUUAAAAAUU